Molecule: long non-coding RNA, 392 nt
Filed under: Sorghum bicolor (sorghum)
Lineage: Eukaryota; Viridiplantae; Streptophyta; Magnoliopsida; Poales; Poaceae
Description: long non-coding RNA (SBIC_LNC001575)
Source: RNAcentral
UUGGGUCGUUGGUGGUGGUGGUGGCGGUGCCGUUGAAGGAGCAGGUGGCGCCGGUGCUGGCCAUCUUCUGGUAGUAGUCGUUGUAGGCGUAGGACGCGAGCGCCGCCAGGUUGUUCUGCUGGUAGCAGGCGCCGCCGGGCUGGAUGGCGGAGCAGUCGGCUUGGCCUUGCCCGCACGCCCAGUUGAGCCCGGCCUGCAGCGCCGUCGGGUCCGCGUUCUGCAGCGCCACGCAGAACGUCCCCGUCGCCAGCGACCGCCGCUGACCACCCUCACCCGGGUAGCCGUACCCGUAGUAGUAGUAGUAUGGCACGACGUCGCCGCCGGCCGCGAGGUCCGCCGCGAUCACGGGGACGCGCGAGACGCCCAGGGCGCGCAUCGCGGCGUCGACCUUG